Molecule: ribosomal RNA, 450 nt
Filed under: uncultured bacterium
Lineage: Bacteria
Description: partial 16S ribosomal RNA
Rfam family: Bacterial small subunit ribosomal RNA
Source: RNAcentral
GUCGAGAAUUUUUCUCAAUGGGGGAAACCCUGAAGGAGCGACGCCGCGUGGGGGAUGAAGGGCUUCGGCUCGUAAACCCCUGUCAUUUGUGAGCAAGUGUUAUUGUUUAAGAGAUGAUGACAUUGAUAGUAGCAAAAGAGGAAGGGACGGCUAACUCUGUGCCAGCAGCCGCGGUAAUACAGAGGUCCCAAGCGUUGUUCGGAAUCACUGGGCGUAAAGGGUGCGUAGGCGGUAUGGUAAGACUUGGGUGAAAUCUCCAUGCUUAACGUGGAGGGAGCCUGGGAGACUGCCGUGCUAGAGGAUUGGAAGGGAGACUGGAAUUCUUGGAGUAGCAGUGAAAUGCGUAGAUAUCAAGAGGAACACCAGUGGCGAAGGCGAGUCUCUGGACAAAACCUGACGCUGAGGCACGAAGGCCAGGGGAUCAAACGGGAUUAGAAACCCGAGUAGUCC